UACGUAGGGGGCAAGCGUUGUCCGGAAUCAUUGGGCGUAAAGAGCGUGUAGGCGGUCCGGUAAGUCCGCUGUAAAAGUCCAGGGCUCAACCCUGGAAAGCCGGUGGAUACUGCCGGGCUAGAGUCCGGAAGAGGCGAGUGGAAUUCCUGGUGUAGCGGUGAAAUGCGCAGAUAUCAGGAGGAACACCGGUGGCGAAGGCGGCUACCUGGACCGGUACUGACGCUGAUGCGCGAAAGCUAGGGUAGCAAACAGG
This 253-nucleotide ribosomal RNA is filed under the name uncultured bacterium. Its description in RNAcentral is "partial 16S ribosomal RNA". It matches the Rfam family "Bacterial small subunit ribosomal RNA", at positions 524 to 776 of the family's 1533-position model. The record is from RNAcentral.